RNAcentral lists this ribosomal RNA (254 nucleotides) under uncultured bacterium. Its description in RNAcentral is "partial 16S ribosomal RNA". It matches the Rfam family "Bacterial small subunit ribosomal RNA", at positions 524 to 776 of the family's 1533-position model. The record is from RNAcentral.
UACGUAGGGUGCGAGCGUUGUCCGGAAUUAUUGGGCGUAAAGGGCUCGUAGGCGGUCUGUCACGUCGGGAGUGAAAACUCAGGGCUUAACCCUGAGCCUGCUUCCGAUACGGGCAGACUAGAGGUAUGCAGGGGGAGAACGGAAUUCCUGGUGUAGCGGUGAAAUGCGCAGAUAUCAGGAGGAACACCGGUGGCGAAGGCGGUUCUCUGGGCAUUACCUGACGCUGAGGAGCGAAAGUGUGGGGAGCGAACAGG